Molecule: small nuclear RNA, 105 nt
Organism: Bison bison bison
Lineage: Eukaryota; Metazoa; Chordata; Mammalia; Artiodactyla; Bovidae
Source: Ensembl
GCGCUUACUUCAACAACACAUACACUAAAAUUGGAGCAGUACAGAAGAUGUUCAUGGCCCUUGUACAAGGAUAACAUGCAGAUUGGUGAAGCAUUCCAUGUUUCU